AGUUGAAGUCUCUGGUAAUGAUGAAUGCAGCCUCAGGCUAUGCAGUGUCCUACUUGGAUAUGUUACCAAACAGUGUUUUGAAUGCCUCGUUUGUCAAUUUAAGGAGGAAACUUCACAGCUGUAAUAAUAACUACUGUGAAUUCCCUCAGUAGGCAGUAGAGAGAAACCUUAUUUCAAACUGGAGCCAUUGAGUGAUAUUGUGUUAAUUUUAACACUAAAUUUAAUGUGUUAUUUGAAGGUCAUUGUAGAGAGGAAAUAAGAGAGCCUUUCUACUCUUGAUUCAGCUCACAGUCUUCCUCACCUCCUCCUUUCUAUUCUUUCAUAUUUCUUGCACUAAAAUAUUCACUGCCUCUCCCCUUUUUUCCUCAUUCAUCAGCUCCUCAAAAUACUCCUUCCAUCUUCUCUGCACACUCUUCCUGCCUGUUAGCACCUUUCCACCUCUAUCUUUAAUCACCCUUAUUUGUUGAACAUUCAUCCCAUCUCUAUCUCUCUGUCUCGCUAAUCUGUACAAGUCCUUCUCACCUGACCUUUUGCUUUCCAGACCUACCAUGCAACUUGUAUACGCUUUCUGUUUGGCCUUUGCCACAUCCCUCUUCACUCUGUGCUGCGGUUCCUUUUAAUGAUAAUUAAUCCUGUCUACUUUCUUUGAUCCUUUCUACUUCUCAAUUCUUUUUAGCUAGUCUCUUACUCUGAAUGCUGUUCUGUACUGUACUUCAUUGUACCACCACCAUGUUUCCUUAUCUUCUUUUCUCCUUCAGAUGACACACCUACCCGCCUACCUGUCUCCCUGAUCACUUCUGCUGAUUCCCAGUCAUCUGGAAGGUCUUCCUGACCACUCAAAGCCUAUGUCAGCUUCUGUUUGAAUCCUUCACAACAUUCUUUCUUUUUCAACUUCCAUCACUUGGUCUUCUUUUCUAUCUAUCCUCUCCUCUUCCUCCAGAAAAACAGAGACAUCCUACACAUGAUCAUCCGAUGCUGUCUGGCUACACUCUCUCCUACCACCAACUCCAACUUCCACUCUAAUAUAAUAUUAGCCCAAUUUCCGCCAGCACCAAUAGGUUGACAGUGCCGAUGGCAGUUGUUGUUAACCUGGGCCUCAACUGAUACGGAGUUGGGACCGGCACAGAAAUCACUGUCUUGCAGCACCUGUGGACUUUUGGAAUCCUGCUGGACUUUACCAUUAAAGUUGUGACUUAAAAAGAAUUACACAUCAUUAAAUAGUGCAGAUAAAAAUGUGGUUGUGUACGUGCAUGCAUGCAUGUGUGUGGUACACUAGUGGUUAAGGUGUUGGGCUAUUAAUUAGAAGGUUGUGGGUUCGAUCUCAGGUCCACCAUGCUGCCACUGUUGGGCCCCUAAGCAAGACCUUUAACCCUCAAUUGCUCAGUUGUAUAAAAAAUGAGAUAAUGUAUGUUCUAGAUGUAUGUGUGUGAGAUGCUGAUGUGUCCUCAACCUCGAUCAGAAGGUUAUGUUAUGAUGCAAUAAUGGAAUGUCUAUGACAUCUA
Long non-coding RNA from Tachysurus fulvidraco (yellow catfish), 1502 nucleotides. RefSeq lists it as uncharacterized. The record is from RefSeq and is a predicted model, not a curated record. The transcript has 3 exons. Lineage: Eukaryota; Metazoa; Chordata; Actinopteri; Siluriformes; Bagridae.